Molecule: ribosomal RNA, 469 nt
Filed under: uncultured bacterium
Lineage: Bacteria
Description: partial 16S ribosomal RNA
Rfam family: Bacterial small subunit ribosomal RNA
Source: RNAcentral
GACGAACGCUGGCGGCGUGCUUAACACAUGCAAGUCGAACGGAAAGGCCCUGCUUGCAGGGUGCUCGAGUGGCGAACGGGUGAGUAACACGUGGGUGAUCUGCCCCUUACUUUGGGAUAAGCCUGGGAAACUGGGUCUAAUACUGGAUAGGACCAUGCUGUAGGUGGUGUGGUGGAAAGAUUAGUUUCGGUAAGGGAUGAGCUCGCGGCCUAUCAGCUUGUUGGUGGGGUAAUGGCCUACCAAGGCGUCGACGGGUAGCCGGCCUGAGAGGGUGGACGGCCACAUUGGGACUGAGAUACGGCCCAGACUCCUACGGGAGGCAGCAGUGGGGAAUAGUGCACAAUGGGCGCAAGGCUGAUGCAGCGACGCCGCGUGGGGGAUGACGGCCUUCGGGUUGUAAACUCCUUUCGGCCAUGACGAAGCCCUUGUGGUGACGGUAGUGGUAGAAGAAGCACCGGCUAACUACGUG